GACGAACGCUGGCGGCGUGCUUAACACAUGCAAGUCGAACGAUGAAGAAGAGAAACGCGAACUUCGGUUCAAAUUUCACUUCGGAUUAGUGGCAGACGGGUGAGUAACGCGUGAGCAACCUACCUCUUACAAAGGGAUAGCUUCGGGAAACCGUGAUUAAUACCAUAUGACACAUUCAUAAGGCAUCUUAAGAAUGUUAAGGCUACGGCGGUAAGAGAUGGGCUCGCGUCCCAUUAGCUAGUUGGUGAGGUAACGGCCCACCAAGGCGACGAUGGGUAACCGGCCUGAGAGGGUGAACGGUCACAUUGGAACUGAGACACGGUCCAAACUCCUACGGGAGGCAGCAGUGGGGAAUAUUGCACAAUGGAGGGAGCUCUGAUGCAGCGACGCCGCGUGAGCGAUGAAGGAAUUCGUUUCGUAAAGCUCUGUUCUAUGGGAAGAAAAGGACUGUACCAUAGGAGAAAGCCCCGGCUAAAUACGUG
Molecule: ribosomal RNA, 482 nt
Filed under: uncultured bacterium
Lineage: Bacteria
Description: partial 16S ribosomal RNA
Rfam family: Bacterial small subunit ribosomal RNA
Source: RNAcentral